Molecule: non-coding RNA, 115 nt
Filed under: Clostridium nigeriense
Lineage: Bacteria; Bacillati; Bacillota; Clostridia; Eubacteriales; Clostridiaceae
Description: SAM riboswitch (S box leader)
Rfam family: SAM riboswitch aptamer (S box leader)
About the family: The SAM riboswitch is found upstream of a number of genes which code for proteins involved in methionine or cysteine biosynthesis in Gram-positive bacteria. The SAM riboswitch acts at the level of transcription termination control.
Source: RNAcentral
UUUAUUAAGAAUGGUGGAGGGACUGGCCCUGUGAAACCUAGCAACCUACUAUGUUUGAUUUUUAUUUUAUAAAUAGUGUGGUGCUAAAUCCUGCAAGCUUAGCUUGAUAAAUAAG